Molecule: long non-coding RNA, 208 nt
Organism: Dermochelys coriacea (leatherback sea turtle)
Lineage: Eukaryota; Metazoa; Chordata; Testudines; Dermochelyidae
Exons: 3
Source: RefSeq, a predicted model, not a curated record
UACAGAUGGGGAAAUUGAGCACAACCUGGUAAAAUGGCUUGCCCACACUCUGUGUAGUGUCACUGUGUGGUGUGCGUGUAAUCUUCUCAUUUUACACGUACACAAAUAGUCCCAUUCAUCCAGUGGAAUAUUCACAUGCGUAAGGUCACAUCUGCAUACUCUUGCUUCAUAUCAAAUUGUUUUUAAAGGGGAAAAAACAGUUUCAGUU